UGUGUGUGUGUGUGUGUGUGUGUGUGUGUGUGUGUGUGUGUAUGUGUGUGGGCGCGCACGUCAUUUAAACAGUUUGAAUCUGACACAGAUUCAUGAUUUCCAUACACUUGGCUCAUAUGGAUGCGUCGGAAGGUAAACAGCAUCGCGGCUGAUGCAAUGUCAUGGUAACACCACCCAAGUCCUAUCGAGGAGGAGCAAAGCACUCUGGGUAAAGACGUGUCUGGGUCCUUGUCUAGAGCGGGGCUGUCAUGGAGCCGAGAUCCCGGCAGUAGAAUGAUGGAUGCUGUGCUGUGAGACCGGUUGAGUGGCUCUUUGUGAGACUCCAUGUGACUGGUUACAUUUACAUUCGUUCACGUAGCAGACGUUCUCUGUAGGAACAGAUCUGUUAGUCACCGUGAAAUCCCACCAGUGUGGCUGACUGGAUGGCUAUGAGCGUCUGGACGCUAGCCUGUGUAAUGUCCAUCUCUGAGGUUAGGGGCCGUGUUCGGGUGGAAAGGCUCUGAGCCGAGGUUAGGGACCGUGUUCGGGUGGAAAGGCUCUGAGGUUAGGGACCGUGUUCGGGUGGAAAGAUUUGGGUGCUGUCAGGCACUCCAAAAUGGGCUUCCCCAAAAGACGAAGGCGUUUUCAGAAAGCCCUAGAGACUCCUCAGAAAGUGUGAUUAGAUGGUCCAGUUAAAGGAGAGGUGAGAGGAGUCUGAGACGGACAUGGUCGUUUGUUUCAGUGUUACUUGUUUGUGUAGGUGAAAACUGAUUGCAGGGUUCUGUCGGAGCACGUGGAGGAACCAACUAGUCAUGCAGAACUUCACUGCUGCAAUUUUUUUUCCCAUCAUGUGGAAGGAAAAUGUAGUCUUUGGUUGAGAUUUUUUUCUUUAUAUGUGGAAGGGAUGGGAAUGUUUACAUGGGCAGGGAGUGUGUUUGCUCUGUGUGUGUGUGUGUGUGAGUGUGUUUGCACGGUGUGUGUGUGUGAGUGUGUUUGCUCUGUGUGUGUGUGAGUGUGCUUGUCCGCUUGUGUGGGCAUGCUUGUGUGUGUGUGAGUGUGUGUGUGUGUGUGUGAUGUUUAUGUUUCUCUGUCUUUGUGGAUGUGGACAUGCAUUUGUGUAUUUGAUGUCUGUGUGUGCUGUUUUUGUGCUAGGCACGUGUGUAUGUUUACUCUGUGUGUGUGUGUGUGUGUGUGUGUGUGUGUGUGCGCGCGCGCGCGUGGGGACACGUGUAUAUUUACUGUGCGCCUGUGUGUGUGUGACUUGGCCGCAGCUCUUGACGGACAGGUUAAAGCUUUGCAGGCCACCUUUAGGCCGGACGGGAGCCUCUGUUGCCAUGGUGAGCACGGAAUCCAAACUGCAGCUCUCCCGGCUCUCCCAGCCCAGCUCCCCGCU
Molecule: long non-coding RNA, 1372 nt
Organism: Clupea harengus (Atlantic herring)
Lineage: Eukaryota; Metazoa; Chordata; Actinopteri; Clupeiformes; Clupeidae
Source: Ensembl